GUUCAAGAGUACGUGAAACUGUGUGGUGGUAAACAGAGGGGUUCUCGAAGUCUCUGAGGGGAACUCAACCUUGGUGUCUGGCAGUCUGGGCGUAUCCGAUCAGCAAUGACUGUGCGCUCCGCCUGGCUCGGCUCUCGGGUGCAUUUCCCCCUCAGUUUACGGCAGGAACUGUUUGGCGCGGACCGGUGGCCACGGGUGAAGUUGUCGCUUAUGGUGGCAGCCCUGUGUGACCUGGCUCCGAGCCGGACAGGUAUUUAGAGAGGACUCGUAUAGCGAGCAAUGCUCUGUUGCAGUUCUCAUCUCUCUGCCGAGUAGGUCGGUGGCCCCUCUGACCCGUCUUGAAACACGGA
Molecule: ribosomal RNA, 350 nt
Filed under: Scolecithricella minor
Lineage: Eukaryota; Metazoa; Arthropoda; Copepoda; Calanoida; Scolecitrichidae
Description: partial 28S ribosomal RNA
Source: RNAcentral